This 254-nucleotide ribosomal RNA is filed under the name uncultured bacterium. Its description in RNAcentral is "partial 16S ribosomal RNA". It matches the Rfam family "Bacterial small subunit ribosomal RNA", at positions 524 to 776 of the family's 1533-position model. The record is from RNAcentral.
GACAGAGGUGCCGAGCGUUAGGCGGAAUCACUGGGCUUAAAGCGUGUGUAGGCGGACUUCUAAGUACCUUGUGAAAUCCCACGGCUCAACCGUGGAACUGCUUGGUAUACUGGUUGUCUUGAGCCACUUAGGGGCAGUCGGAACAGACGGUGGAGCGGUGAAAUGCGUAGAUAUCAGGAAGAACACCGGUGGUGUAGACGGCUUUCUGGACCGUAACUGACGCUGAGACACGAAAAGCGUGGGUAGCAAACAGG